Arvicanthis niloticus (Nile rat) is the source of this 450-nucleotide non-coding RNA. The record is from the annotation of a RefSeq genome assembly. NCBI's taxonomy places the organism in Eukaryota, Metazoa, Chordata, Mammalia, Rodentia, Muridae.
AUGAAGUUGCCUGCUCAUCUCUUGCUGCAUCUGUUGUUCUGGAUUCCUGCUUCCAGAGGUGAUGUUGUAAUGACACAAACUCCAGUCUCCCUGCCUGUCAGCCUUGGAGAUCAAGCCUCUAUCUCUUGUAUGUCUAGUCAGAGCCUUGUACAUAGUAAUGGGAACACCUAUUUGUCUUGGUACCUGCAGAAGCCGGACCAGGCUCCACAGCUCCUGAUCUACAUGGUUUCCAACCGAUUGUCUGGGGUCCCAGACAGGUUCAUUGGUAGUGGUUCAGGAACAGAUUUCACACUCAAGAUCAGCAGAAUAGAACCUGAUGAUUUGGGAAUUUAUUACUGCUUCCAAGGUAAUUCUCCUCCCACAGUGAUUUAUACCCCAACAAAAACAUCCUUCCUUAGAGUCGCCCAGCUGCUAAAUAUGUUACUCAUCUUUAUGAAACAGAUGCAAUAG